RNAcentral lists this unclassified non-coding RNA (263 nucleotides) under Hevea brasiliensis (rubber tree). The record is from RNAcentral. Lineage: Eukaryota; Viridiplantae; Streptophyta; Magnoliopsida; Malpighiales; Euphorbiaceae.
UGGGUAAGAAGGUGUUGUGGAAGCAUAGUGUAUAUGGACUGACUCCUAACAUUGGAUCUGCGCACCAUUUACUGUUAUUUGCUAAACAGCAUAAUAAUGUUAAACUCUUGGUAGAAAUUAUGAAUCUGGUGAAGAAAAAUGACUUGAUCCUGCAGCCUGGAACUGCAGAUAUAGUCUUCAGCAUUUGCUCCCAAACUGAUAAUUGGGAUUUGAUGUGCAAGUAUGGUAAAAGAUUUGUCAAGGCAGGAGUGAAGCUCCGGAAG